GCAUUGCUGUUAGUUUGUGGGAUGGUGCUGACGCCUGUUUGCGCCAACCCACUAACCGACGGGACUGUU
This 69-nucleotide non-coding RNA is filed under the name Ixodes ricinus (castor bean tick). Lineage: Eukaryota; Metazoa; Arthropoda; Arachnida; Ixodida; Ixodidae. The record is from RNAcentral.